Molecule: ribosomal RNA, 253 nt
Filed under: uncultured bacterium
Lineage: Bacteria
Description: partial 16S ribosomal RNA
Rfam family: Bacterial small subunit ribosomal RNA
Source: RNAcentral
UACGUAGGGUGCAAGCGUUGUCCGGAAUUAUUGGGCGUAAAGAGCUCGUAGGCGGUUUGUUGCGUCGGCUGUGAAAUCCCGAGGCUCAACCUCGGGUCUGCAGUCGAUACGAGCAAACUAGAGUGUUGCAGGGGAGACUGGAAUUCCUGGUGUAGCGGUGAAAUGCGCAGAUAUCAGGAGGAACACCGGUGGCGAAGGCGGCGCUCUGGGCCGGAACUGACGCUGAGGAGCGAAAGCGUGGGGAGCGAACAGG